GUCGGUAUCGUAUAGUGGUCAGUACAGCACGUUGUGGCCGUGCAAACGAGAGUUCGAUUCCCUCUACCGACA
Molecule: non-coding RNA, 72 nt
Organism: Astrocystis sublimbata
Lineage: Eukaryota; Fungi; Ascomycota; Sordariomycetes; Xylariales; Xylariaceae
Source: the annotation of a GenBank genome assembly